GGGUCUAUAGCUUAAAGGUUAGAGCGUACGCUUGAUAAGCGUAAAGUUGGUUGUUCGAAUCAAUCUAGACUCA
This 73-nucleotide transfer RNA is filed under the name Gracilaria tenuistipitata. RNAcentral describes it as "Agarophyton tenuistipitatum tRNA-Ile". It matches the Rfam family "tRNA". From Rfam's summary of the family: Transfer RNA (tRNA) molecules are approximately 80 nucleotides in length. Their secondary structure includes four short double-helical elements and three loops (D, anti-codon, and T loops). The record is from RNAcentral. Lineage: Eukaryota; Rhodophyta; Florideophyceae; Gracilariales; Gracilariaceae.